AGCAAUUCACUGCCAUGUUUAGGAGGAAGGCCUUCUUGCAUUGGUACACAGGUGAAGGUAUGGACGAGAUGGAGUUCACUGAGGCUGAGAGCAACAUGAACGAUCUGGUUUCUGAGUACCAGCAGUAUCAAGAUGCAACAGCCGAUGAGGAGGAAUACGAGGAUGAGCAAGGGGAGUAUGAGGAGGAAAUGUAAUUUCUAUCAAGCAGUAGUUUCCUUUGAAUAUCAACUUUCCAGUUAGCGUUUUAUGUAGUAUGUGAAUGAAUUUCUGAUUGAGUGUUUGUGGGACAAGUUUCAAUAUCAACUUCCAGUUGCUGCUUU
RNAcentral lists this long non-coding RNA (320 nucleotides) under Prunus persica (peach). RNAcentral describes it as "long non-coding RNA (PPER_LNC005645)". Lineage: Eukaryota; Viridiplantae; Streptophyta; Magnoliopsida; Rosales; Rosaceae. The record is from RNAcentral.